This 376-nucleotide ribosomal RNA is filed under the name uncultured organism. RNAcentral describes it as "partial 16S ribosomal RNA". It matches the Rfam family "Bacterial small subunit ribosomal RNA", at positions 527 to 896 of the family's 1533-position model. The record is from RNAcentral.
GUAGGUGGCAAGCGUUGUCCGGGAAUUAUUGGGGCGUAAAGCGCGCGCAGGUGGUUCUUUAAGUCUGAUGUGAAAGCCCCCCGGGCUCAACCGGGGAGGGUCAUUGGAAACUGGGGAACUUGAGUGCAGGAGAGGAAAGUGGAAUUCCACGUGUAGCGGUGAAAUGCGUAGAUAUGUGGAGGAACACCAGUGGCGAAGGCGACUUUCUGGCCUGUAACCGACACUGAGGCGCGAAAGCGUGGGGAGCAAACAGGAUUAGAUACCCUGGUAGUCCACGCUGUAAACGAUGAGUGCUAAGUGUUGGGGGGUUUCCGCCCCUCAGUGCUGCAGCUAACGCAUUAAGCACUCCGCCUGGGGAGUACGGUCGCAAAGACUG